UCCCGCCGGACCUGACUGCUAUCGGAUUGAUACUAAGCCAUGCGAGUCUUUGUAGUAAUACAAGGCAGACGGCUCAGUAACACGUAGUCAACCUACCCUAUGGACAAGAAUAAUCUCGGGAAACUGGGCAUAAUUCUUGAUAGAUCAUAAUGCCUGGAAUGGUUUAUGGUUAAAAUGAUUCGUCGCCAUAGGAUGGGACUGCGGCCUAUCAGCUUGUUGGUGAGGUAAUGGCCCACCAAGGCGAUUACAGGUACGGGCUCUGAGAGGAGAAGCCCGGAGAUGGGUACUGAGACACGGACCCAGGCCCUAUGGGGCGCAGCAGGCGAGAAAACUUUGCAAUGUGCGAAAGCACGACAAGGUUAAUCCGAGUGAUUUCUGCUAAAGAAAUCUUUUGCCAGUCGUAAAACCGCUGGUGAAUAAGGGGUGGGCAAGUUCUGGUGUCAGCCGCCGCGGUAAAACCAGCACCUCAAGUGGUCAGGAUGAUUAUUGGGCCUAAAGCAUCCGUAGCCUGCUCUGUAAGUUUUCGGUUAAAUCUGUAUGCUCAACAUACAGGCCGCCGGAAAUACUGCAGGGCUAGGGAGUGGGAGAGGUAGACGGUACUCGGGAGGAAGUGGUAAAAUGCUUUGAUCUUUCGAUGACCACCUGUGGCGAAGGCGGUCUACCAGAACACGUCCGACGGUGAGGGAUGAAAGCUGGGGGAGCAAACCGGAUUAGAUACCCGGGUAGUCCCAGCCGUAAACUAUGCAAACUCGAUGAUGCAUUGGCAUAAUAGCCAGUGCAGUGUCGCAGGGAAGCCGUUAAGUCUGCCGCCUGGGAAGUACGUACGCAAGUAUGAAACUUAA
Molecule: ribosomal RNA, 842 nt
Filed under: uncultured marine group I thaumarchaeote
Lineage: Archaea; Thermoproteati; Nitrososphaerota
Description: SSU rRNA
Rfam family: Archaeal small subunit ribosomal RNA
Source: RNAcentral